RNAcentral lists this long non-coding RNA (10432 nucleotides) under Triticum aestivum (bread wheat). Its description in RNAcentral is "long non-coding RNA (TAES_LNC025110)". The record is from RNAcentral. Lineage: Eukaryota; Viridiplantae; Streptophyta; Magnoliopsida; Poales; Poaceae.
GGCAGUAGUACUCUGAAUCCAUCAAUGCAACUGAAUCCAAACAUGUGAAUCAAGUUGUGGCAGGUAUCUCUGCAUGCUUAAUUCACUCAAUUUUUUGUGCAGUAGGAGUAGUUGCUAGAAAUUUACUGAAUUUUGUUUCCAAUAGAUGCACUGAAUUUCAAAGAAAGAGUACUCUAGGAGUACAUGGAGUUGAUGCACUGAAUUUUGUUUGCAGUAGAUGCACUGAAAUUUACUGAAUUUUGUUUGCAGUAGGAGUAGUUGGAGUUCUGAACUGCUAGGUGUACUUGUGGAAGCACUUCGCUGGUGCGCCGUAUCUGAUUGAUUUGCAACUAAAUUCUAGCCACUCUGAAUUCUUAGUCUGAAUGCACAUCAAGGAGUAUUUUUAAAAAGUACAGCAAGGAGUAGCAUUUACAUGUUUAAAAAGCAAUUCAGCUCGAUUUCUGUGUGUAUCCAUAUGCCCAAUCCCGCUCUAAUUCAGCCUACUCCCAUCUCUAGAUAAAUAACAGUAGAAUAAUCUGUGAGUACUGUUAUUUCACAAUACACUGCCAAUUUUCAGCGCCAAACCAGGGAAAUUAUGUCAAACGAAUAUGGCCUGAAUUGUGACAGUAUUGAAAUCAUGCAAACAUGCCUAAAGGUUAAGUGUUUCACUACUGCACUGGGAUUAAAGAUUCAGUUGUUUUCUAGUCUAGUGACAUUGUCAUUGUAGUUUCAGUAGAAAUGACCUUCUUCCUAAUUAGUAACAGAGAUGAAAGUUUAUAUAGUUGUGAUAUUUUUGGUGUAAUAUUAUUGUUUACAUGCUUAUAUUUUUUUGUUUUCUGCAUGUUCAGAAUUGCAUGCUUUUGGGCUGCAUCAUAAAAACUUAUCUAAUGUAGAACACUCCAGUGGAGUCUAGUUUUACAACAACGAAGUGACCCAGGCAGUGUGCAAAAUUUGUGCAGGAAAACAAAGCCGAGUUUAGAUGCAGUAGAUGAUUGAUUACAAAACAACAAAAGAAUAAUAUAUAUAUAUAUAUAAGCAAUCCAGCAAAAGGGAAAAUAAUGUCACAUACAACAAAAAUUGGCAACUUGCAAAGUCACAAAUCUGAGGCAAUAUUAUUAAUAUUUGACUUGUUGUAUAAACAUAAUAAGGUUUAAUUGCUAACAUCGAAAGAUAAGAUAUCUGUACAAGAACACCGAAGAGCACCAACUUAUCUAUAGCAUAAGAGUAAAUCCUCUGUCAUAUUUAAGAGCGGACUUCAGCCUGUAAGGACUUCCUUAUAGACGAUGUUCUUCAUCGAGGUUUGUAAGGACAAGGUAGGUCGUUUUCGCUUCUUUGAUUUACUGAUUUGCUUCUUGCCAUUCUCCUUGUCCUUCUCCUUCUCAAUGAGGAUCUUUAUAUUUCUCUUCGCGGUGGCUCCAGACAAUGCGACAUAGAGUUGACCAUGAGAAAACACUGGAUUAGGUAGGUACACGCCAACAAUCGGAACCGUCUGUCCUUGAGCCUUGUUAAUCAUCAUAGCAAAGCUAAGCCUUACAAGAAAUUGCUUCCUCUUGAACUUGAAUGGAAACAUUGUCGUUGUCAGACGGGCAUAGGGGUAUUCGAGGAAGGAAUACCCUCCUACCUGCGUGUUGUCCGAUCACGAUUUCUGCGUCGAUGGCGUUCCUCUCGAAACCUCGCAACACAAGCCUCGUCCCAUUGCACAGACCAUUAGCCGGAUCAAUGUUCCUCAGAAGUAUGACAGGGCAGUUGAGCUUCAGUUUGAGUGCAUGCAGAGGCAGAUCGUUGGGAGUCAAUCCACAUAGGAACUCAGGAGCAUAGUAGCCAUAUGGGUCGUCUUUUGCACUGUCAAAGCUAUGGUAGAUUACUUCUUCCCCCUGAAAACGCUCUACCAUGCGUAUGUUUAUCUUGUCGACGUUGUCGUUUGUGGUGGACAGGAUUGCGCGUGAAGUCAUGUAAUUCGGAUCAGACAUGUUGUCAUCUAAUCUCGAAAACACAUGGUCAAUCAGCUUCUCCAGGUCGUCACCCUCGCCUGUAGACGACACACAAAUAUCUUCAGGGAGUCGUAUGUUUCCUUGAUCGUCAACUUCCUCGGUACCAUUUCCUACCCUUAGCAAGUAAUCCGCAAACCAGGUGUCAUUAUGAGCCCUCAUGUUGGUGAUGAGCCUUAGCUGGCGCAUACCCUUCCAGAGAUGUGAACUUCGGAGGGUUGCAUCGAUUAUAUGACCACGGGACCCCCUCCUGACGACUGGAAGCACCUGCUGAAGUACCCGCGAAACACAACAGUUUUUCCUCCAAAGGGUCGGUCCCGUCUUCCCAUGAUGUCGCGCAUGCUGUUGUCGAGUGCCUCGACCGCCUGUCGCUUAGUCAUGGUGGCCUCGUCCCAUAGUAUCAAUGAGGCAAUCCUCAGUAGCUUGGCGGUACCACUCUGCUUCGUGAAGGUGCAUGAGGCGCCAUCGUCGCAGCUCAAUGGGAUCUUGAACCUCGAGUGGGCAGUCCUGCCUCCAGGCAUGAUAGAAGCGUCGACACCUGACGUCGCGGUAGCGACAGCGAUGUUUCCCUCGCUUCGAACCUUGGCGAGCAGCACCCUAUACAGGAAGGUCUUCCCUGUACCUCCCGGGCCAUCAACAAAGAACACACCCCCAUCACCGCGUUCAACAGCAGCUAGUAUCUCGUCGUAUGCAACCCUCUGCUCCAAGUUUAGCGAUGAUGCCAAUUUAGUGUCAUUGAUGUCAAAAUCGAUGUUGGAUUCCUCGAUCACUUCUCUGGCCUCGCCCUCGUUUGGGUCGAACGCAUCGUCAAUGCAUGGAAGAGCGAAAUCAGCUAUGUCUUUGCCCAUGGACUGCAACAUACCCCUAAUGUCAAGCAACACCAUCUGUUCCACCUCAAUCGGGCACGUGUGUGAUCGCCGAUAGUCAUCAGACAUAGGCUCGAAGUUCCUAUCCCAUAAACCACGCACGUCGCCUGGCUCACAGUGCACCAAAAUUGUUGUGAAGAGCCUCCUGAGAGAACAUGGCAUUGCCCACUGCUCUGCCUCGGUAAGACAAUCGUCGAGCGUGUUAUCUGCCUCGAUGAGUCCCAACCUUUCGGCAGCCUCUCUAAAGCUCCCGCAUAGCCUACCGUCCACGGUGAGCAUGUCCUCAUAGGAUGUCUUGCCAGCAACAUGGUUUAGCAGCACAAGCAGAUAGUAUCGCUCCCCCUCGGCAGGAUUGGCAGACACAAUUCAACCUAUCUGAUAACGCUCCACCCGCUCUUUCCAAUACUUCUUACCCUUCUGCCAUGUGAACCUUCCAGGAAAAUCCUUAUACAAUAUAUUCCUAGCCCACGGGUGGUUUUGGUUAGCUUUGAAAUACUCUGUCAACAUGGAUUUGGAAGAAUUCUCAGAGGCGACUACGUCGGUCAAGUGAGCUUGCUCACUGAAUGCCACCCUGUGCAUAUUCGGGAGAUGAAGAGGCAACUGUAGGACAGGCGGGUCAUUGGCACACAAGGGGAAGCCAAAUAUCCUCCACAUCGCCUCUAGAGGAGUAACCCACCUCGCGUCUACGUAUUCUUUUGAUCUCAUCAAUGUUACCAUCGGCGUCGGGUUGGUCGAUGCUGAAAGAAGCCCUAUCAUGGCCCUUGUAUAUGUACUUGUAAAGGUAUUUGACGGCCUUUAUGCUGGAGCAAACCUCAACUUUGAUGUGACAAUUAAACAUACGUAGAAGGUAAGGGUUAUAUGGUACAACCCAUCUGUUGUCCAACAUUUUAUCCCGGACCUUAGCCUGCUGACCAUCAUCAACUGGGUAUGAGUCCUUGCCCUAUGCCGUGUUUUCAUUGAACAACAACGGGUAUCUGCACUUGCACUCGUUAUGUUGCAUGCACACAUUUUUGGGGUUGAGAGCACCGCAUGGUCCAUGCAUCAUAUGUUUCACCACCAAGGCGUGGAGUUCAGGAUACUUCUGCUUGUCUGGGAGUUCGGCAGAAAUAAGUCGAUCGUACUGCUCUGAAACGACAAGCUUAUAGGCAGAAUCCAUGAUCAACAAAAAGUGUGCGUGGGGGAGGCCCCUCUUCUGGAACUCGACUAUGUAUACAUGUGCGACAACAACACCCAGGAUAUUCUUCUUGAACAACAUCUCUUUCAUAGCCUCUAGCUUGCCAUGGAACACACGAGCCACAAGAUCAGGUCGGUCUUGCGUUGUCUGACUAGGAAACAACUCAUUCGUUAUCUCUUCCCAGUUAGGGUUGCAAGUCAUGGUCAAGAAGAUGUCAGGCUUCCCGUAGGUAUGGACUAUUGCCAUGGCAUCCAUAUGCCUCCGCUUCAUGUCGCGGUCACCACCUGGGUACGUUCCAGGGAGCACUAUCCUUACUCCAACAGCGCUUGCCCGGGUCUCUCCGGAUGUAAUUGCAUCAACAACUCCUUUAUACAGGUCGGCACGGAUCUUUGUCUGGUUCUUCCUGUACCAUUUCAACCUACAGCUCUCAAUCUUGAUGUACAUGUCCACCCCCCAUUGCUGGAGCAAUCGUGCUCCACAGAGUAUGGGAUUGAAUAUCCCAGGUCGUGUCUACAGCAUGUAGCAGUAGUAGUCUCUCACCGAGACGCAUAACCUGCUAUUCCCCUCUGCACAUGGAUGAGUAACACGGAAGUUAGGAUUCAUAUGAGAACUAUACAAUUCAUCAAAACGACAUAAUACGCAUAAGGCUUACCUGCUUCAUCAUCAUCAUCAUCACGUCCACCUCUUGGUUGUUGCACAACCGGCUAAGGGACAUCACGUUUAGGUAGUUUCGGGUGCCAACCAAGCUCCCCCCUUGGGUAGAAGAGUGGGUAAGAGAGCGGGUCAUACGAGCCAGCCGUCACAUGUAUACUGUGCCUCUGGUUGUCAUUCCCGCAAAGUGUAAUCCUACGAUCGAACCUCUUUGCUAGGUCAGUGCCCUCCACCCAAAUUGCAGCGACCUCAGAUGACAGAGGUCUAUUAUACUUCCUUUGGUCUAGUCUCUAGUCAGUGUUGAGGUCUAUCCUGUAAUCGUCGAGGUUGUCCCUGUGCGCACCCAAACUCCUAAACUGUUGGGAGUAUGGGUUUUCCCUGAGUAUGUCCACUAACUUUCUGACGACAUCUUGGUCUAAUUGUUUGGUGGCAGCCUUGCGAUGGGUUAGGCCUGGGUCGUCGUCGUAGAAGUACAACUGUAGAUGCUAUGGACGGGAUGUUGGCCCGAAGGAAUGAACAUUGUGGUAGAUGGUGUCGUGUGCCCGAAACGUGUACACCCCAGACUUCAUGUUUGUGUAGCUUUCAUCGAGGCUGAUGCCGAGGGUUGUGAAGGAGAAGUGGCCGUUGAAGAACCGUAUGUUCUCCCGAUAAUGUCUAGAGUCCACAUCAGUGCUAGACCAAAGCCUCAUGAGCUUCAGGGUGGGCUCCGGUUGCUUCAGCUCGAUCUGCCCACUGCGACAGCAAAAUCCUGGGGCCUCGGACACAAACUUCUUAUCCUUGCAGUGGUCGCAGUUCGCGGCGUGCUUCAGGAUGUGUGUGUUGGCUGGGAGGUUUGAGUACACAUAGUCAAAUGGAUCAUGGUCGACAUAGUUAUUGUGCCUUGAGUCUUCCAAUUCGUUGUGCUCCAUGUCAUCAACAUCUAGGCCUGCAAACAAUGUUUCUAGUUAGUGAGAUACCCCCAACAUGUGGAUCACGCUCAAGCGGGUGUACAUACCUUCACCAGCAAACAGGUAAUAUUCAUCGUCAAAGAGGUUGUCAGGAUUGGCAUUAUCAUUCAUGAGACCAUUGAGGUAAGCGUCCAUGUCGUCUGCCCAUGUGCCAAACAACACAAAUGAGGGUUCAGUCUCAAGGGACGCAAGGAGAGUAAGGAGGGGGGGUGUUACCUUCGCUUCUGAUCGUGUACUCCGGUGUGCUAGAUGAUGUUGAGGCACCGUGUGCUUCAACUAUGGUAGGUUGUCCCAUUGAGCUAAUCUCCGAUGUGGAGAUGGACUUGACAGUUGGGGUAUUCACCCUACCUGCAAAGCUUGCAUUACGACGAUCUAGCAGAGCCUUCCUCUCACCACGUGGCACCUGCGAACAUGAUUUUCGCUUGCCAAUUUUCUCCUGAUGCUUACACGCCGCCAUACUUCCCUUGAAAGCUCGCUCUCUCGUCCUACGCUGAGCUCUGGACUCAUGACUCUGCUUGCCAGCGCCAUAAUCCGCUUUUGUUACCGGAUCACUGGUUUGCUGGUCGGCACUUGGUAGGUGCUCAUUGAUUUUUAUGAGGUUGCCAUCUACAUCACCAUCACCUACGGUUCUGCUUAGGUAUGCACCUACAAUAUUAUCAAAUCAUUAUAAAUAACUGAUGAAUGAUUACAAGAUGAAAGAUGAUCGUUGAUGGGAUAUCUACCAUCUGUUUCGGUGUUGCGAAUGUAUGUGGGGGCCGACUUGACGGUUGUAGAACGAUCUAUCUGUUCACUGUCGGAUUGUUGCGUGAUGGUUGGAAGUGUGAGAGUCGGACAAUGUGCGUGAGGGUUGAAAGCGUGAGAUUUGGACAAUGUGCUAGUUUGAUCUGGACGUGGCAUUGCGAUCGAUUCAGCACAAAGGGUGUUUUUCCUUCUAGCAUAGUCUGCCUUUCUCUUCGCACUUGACUCCCCCUGCUCAUCAGGGGUCCUGUUGUUUCGUUGUUCCUUUCGUCGCUCACGCUGCACUUGAUUAUCUUUUUGGAGGUUGAUCGUACCCUCUUCCUUUUUCUUCCGAUAAGAUUCUCGUCUCCGUGCGUUUCUCUGCUCCUUUUGUUCUUCUUUCUCACGUUGCCACCCAGCUAGUACAUUGUCAUCAAUGUACCCAACAAUGGGAGUACUCGAAGCAGGCAACGUUGCAUCAGCAUGUGACAAGGAUGUAUAGCUAGAGCUAGUUGGGUUGGCUGGUUGAGCAAUAAAUUGAAACAUAACCAUAUCAUCCAUGUUCAGCAAGCAUGAACCUGCAGAAUGAGGUCAUUCUAUCUAACGAUUACUUAAUUUAUGAAAUGAAAACUUAAACACAUGUACCUGAUAUGCUAUGGGAAGGUUGAUCAACACUUGUUAUAUCAUCAAGAGGGGGUCGGGAAACACACUGAUUUUCAUCUUGGAGGUUGGUCACAGUCUCAUCUUUUUUCUUCGGAUAAGCUGCUCGCCUCCGCGUGUUGUUCUGCUUAUUUUUAUCGCCUGUGCAGUUAUUGCUGCUUUCUUUAUCACAUUGCCCCAUAACUACCAUUACCAAAUUUACGCUACAAUUAUACCAAGUAUAAAUUCUAGAUCCGUACCUGGUAUCUCAUGGGAAGGCUGAUGAACAUUGGUGAUAUCGCCAAGAGGGGGUCGAGAAACAUUCUGCUUUUCACUUUGGAGCUUGAUCGUAUUCUCUUCCUUUUUCUUCCGAUAAUUUUCUCGCCUUCGCGCGUUUCUCUGCUCCCUUUGUUCUUCUGUCAAGUUAUUACUGCAUUCUUUAUCAUGCUUUCUGGUAGAUAGCUUGGCGACAUUCAGGAGUAGAGAUGUUUUCUGGGAAUCACUUGCUGUAGACGCUGGCGCAAAAUCUAAACCAUCAUGACCAUGGGCAUUUAGGCAGACAUCGUUAUGUGGAGAUUUUGGACCUAGAGGAACAGAACAAAAGCUAGUGGUUAGGCUCACAGAUGAAUAUGAACACCCAUAAGCACAAGAAGGGAAGGUGCGUCCCAUUGCGACGUUGUCCAUUCUAUGUUUUUGUUUAAGAUGGAUCUUUAUUUGGUUCAGCUCUUUGAAGUUCUUCCUCCCUCUCCUUUUAUAUUACCAUGUAAACCUCCUUCUAUCAUAUUGUCCCUGUUAGUCUAGCCCUAAGUCUGUACUCUUUAGGUCACUUCCCUCUCUCUCACACCCUCCAUUAUCCAUUUCCCUCUCACGUCAGAAUAUUGAAUGUUUCUACCACACAAUUUUGGCUGCACGCACUUGCUAUGGACAACUUUUCAGUAACAAAGGUUAGAUUUACAAAUUACAGGUUUCAUCUGUGGGUUUUUUAACCUUGGAGUUAAAAAUUUGUGUUUAUGCGUGCUAAUCAGAAAUCUUUUGAACUAUAACUCCUCUUUCAUUUCCCUAAGAUUAAUUAGUAAAUAGGAAGAUUAUAUGGUGUGAUUGUUACACAUAUUUUAUUUAUGUGCCUAUGAGUUCAGGGUUGGUGGAUUAGCAUCUUAUAUAACCAUGGCAUGAAAAUGAUUAAUUUUUCUUUCAGUUGAACCUAUUUGUAAGUCCCAACGGUGUUGUGAGCCUUGCUUACUGCAAUUUUUAGUUAAACUUCUUCAUCCAGCAACUCCGAGGAGUAGGUUUUGCGUGACUGAUACCAUGUUGCUUCCAGAAAUACCAGUACUUUAUGGUUUCACAUGUGAUUGCCCUUAAAUAUAUAUAUAUAUAUAUAUAUAUAUAUAUAUAUAUAUAUAUAUAUAUAUAUAUAUAUAUAUAUAUAUAUAGUAUAGUAAUGUUCUGUUCAGGUUCGGCAUAAAAGUUGUAUUCUAAUUACUGCUGCAGCUUCGCAUGUUGAAUUAUGUUAGACAUGAGGUUCUAAACAAGACAUUAGAAGCUUUUGGUGAUCUCAAAGAUGAUGAGGAGCUUGGUCCUGCUGACCGGGUUACAGUUAAGAAAUAUAUCACAGGCUUGAGUAACUUGGAAGAUGAACAUGCACAUCCACAUGAUGACAAUCAUGAUCACAUACAUACCAUGAAUUUAAGGGAUGGCCGAGUCCGUAUUUUGAAUGGCAGGCAGGCUUUUUGUUUGCUUUUCUUUUUUGCCCUUAAAUAGUUGGCUUGAUACGUCCAUAAUUCUAUCUUGUCUCUGUAUUUUAUGGAGAUGUUUAGUUUCAUACUAAAUGCGGUCAGUUAACAAAGAUUAUUUUUCCUUUUUGUAAAUAUUGUCUUCAGGUGUGCAAGCCAGUUACUGGGCAAUGCUUGACGAGGGACGGAUAAAUGCAGCUACAGCCAAUAUUUUGAUGCGAUCAGUUGAUGAAGCUAUGUAUCUUGUUUCUAGCCGACCAUUAUGCGAUUGGAACAAUUUGCAGUCCAAUGUCCAUUUCCCAAGUUACUACAGGUUCCUUUCUGCAAGCAUGUUACCACGAAGUUUUAUCACAUACUUCACAGUACAAAGAUUGGAGUCAGGAUGUUACAUCUGUCCUGCAUUUCUUCGUGCUAAUAGAAUUGCAAGGAGAUUUUACCAAGAUUUUCUUGGUAAAAUCUUGGAAAACUUUUAGAAUGCUUUUAUGUGCUUGUUAUUUACCACUUCUUUAUUACCAAUUCCAGAAUGCUUGUUAUUUACCACUUCUUUCCUUCCAAUUCCAGAACUUAGUAUCCAAUCCAUGGAUUAGAGGCAGUAAAUGAAUAUUAGUCACACUACGUGGCGCACAUGACAGAUGUAAUGCGUAGGUGUCCGUCGUUAUAGUCCAUAAGCAGAACAGAAAGUAGUAUUUUGUUACUUGUCGGAGCCAGCUACAGACCCUUUUUUUUAAGAUACGUGGAAAGUAGUAUGGUGCAGAUGGACGCAUGGCUCAAACCAUUUAGCUUUUUAAGGUUGAACUAUGUAAAGCCUAUCUAAAGUCAUUGUCAUUUGUGAUGUCCUGUUCUAGUAUCACCCCUCCAGAGGGACUAAUAUGCAAUACUGACAGUUUGUUGUUUUUGUCCAAAUCUGUUAGGCAUGAUUGAUGAAAUGAUCAAAUAAAACCCAUUUGAUAAUGCAUGUUAUUUACAAAAUCCCAAUACCUGGAGUCAUUGGGUAAUACUCGUCAAUGUUGUGACUCGGUGCGAGAACGAUUUCUGGGAUGGAUUCGUUGCCAUUUAUACCCUCAUUAUGGCUUGUAACGUGAAAGUUAUAUGCAAUGUUGUGUUUAUACCAGAAUGAAGGUCAACAAGACGGGUAGAGGGUAUACCUGGACUUCCUUGGGGAUGUAGAUCAACAAGAGGUGGUAGAGGUACAUCCGAUGCCUUUCUUUGUUCCGGUGCCUUGCUAUUUGAAUUUCCCUUACUUAACUUUUGUUCUGAUGAGUGACCUAUCACAAAUGUAGGCCAACAUGAGAAGCUAGAGUAGAGGUCCAUUUCAAAGUAAACUUACAGGAGGACAAAGCUACCAACUGCUUACAAGAAAAGCUUGAACCUGGUCGAGCUGGGAACAUUGAUAAAGAAAAGGUGUAAUUUAGCUUUGCGUAAAAUUCAGAGAAGUUGCAUAUGUAUAAAUUGUAUGAUUCACAAGUCCGAAAACCUUCAAGUGUCUUAUUGAAUGUGCUGCCGACGGAAGCAUAAAAAAUCAUCAUACAUACAGGAAGGUACUGCUCCAUCGGAGUUCUGUACGUAUGUGCGUUGGGCCCUGUUGAAUGGACGAAGGGUUUAGGGUUUAGGCGAACCUGAUUUAGGCGGAACCUGAUCGGUGGCACCCUCCCUGGGAUCGGCGGAGGCGGAUGCGUGCGUGGGGUUGUGCGGCAGCCUCCCACGGAUCGGCAGCGACGGAGGCGUCAAUGGGAUUGUGCGG